Etheostoma spectabile (orangethroat darter) is the source of this 457-nucleotide long non-coding RNA. RefSeq lists it as uncharacterized. Lineage: Eukaryota; Metazoa; Chordata; Actinopteri; Perciformes; Percidae. The transcript is spliced from 3 exons. The record is from RefSeq and is a predicted model, not a curated record.
AUAGAGAAAGAUAAAUAAUGUUUUGAUGUGAAUUUGAAUCGAGCCAUGAAAUACACAUAUGAUGUUUCUCAAUUAAAAAUAUAAUUUAAGUGAAGUCAUAGGUUUGUCGUAGUACCACUUAGUUUUGUGUAAAACUGCUCAGUGAACUACAUCUCCCAGUGGACUACAUCUCUCAGUGGACUACAUCUCUCAAGGAACUACAUCUCUCAAGGAACUACAACUCUCAGUGAACUACAUCUCUCAGUGAACUACAACUCUCAGAGGACUACAUCUCUCAGGGAACUACAUCUCUCAGUGGACUACUUCUCUCAGUGAACUAUAUCUCUCAGUGGACUACAUCUCUCAGUGGACUACAUCUCUCAGUGGACUACAACUCUCAAUGAACUACAUCUCUUAGUGAACUACAUCUCUCAGUGAACUACAUCUCUCAGUGAACUACAACUCUCAGUGGACUACA